Molecule: ribosomal RNA, 497 nt
Filed under: uncultured bacterium
Lineage: Bacteria
Description: partial 16S ribosomal RNA
Rfam family: Bacterial small subunit ribosomal RNA
Source: RNAcentral
GAUGAACGCUGGCGGCGUGCCUAAUACAUGCAAGUCGAGCGAACAGACGAGGAGCUUGCUCCUCUGACGUUAGCGGCGGACGGGUGAGUAACACGUGGAUAACCUACCUAUAAGACUGGGAUAACUUCGUGAAACCGGAGCUAGUACCGGAUAAUAUAUUGAACCGCAUGGUUCAAUAGUGAAAGACGGUUUUGCUGUCACUUAUAGAUGGAUCCGCGCCGCAUUAGCUAGUUGGUAAGGUAACGGCUUACCAAGGCAACGAUGCGUAGCCGACCUGAGAGGGUGAUCGGCCACACUGGAACUGAGACACGGUCCAGACUCCUACGGGAGGCAGCAGUAGGGAAUCUUCCGCAAUGGGCGAAAGCCUGACGGAGCAACGCCGCGUGAGUGAUGAAGGUCUUCGGAUCGUAAAACUCUGUUAUUAGGGAAGAACAAAUGUGUAAGUAACUAUGCACGUCUUGACGGUACCUAAUCAGAAAGCCACGGCUAACUACGUG